RNAcentral lists this ribosomal RNA (357 nucleotides) under Paenibacillus sp. FSL H7-689. RNAcentral describes it as "bacterial LSU rRNA". It matches the Rfam family "Bacterial large subunit ribosomal RNA", at positions 310 to 668 of the family's 2925-position model. Lineage: Bacteria; Bacillati; Bacillota; Bacilli; Caryophanales; Paenibacillaceae. The record is from RNAcentral.
GGAGUUACAAAGGAACCGGUUAAGCGAAGAGGUCUGGAAAGGCCCGCCAAAGAAGGUAAAAGCCCUGUAGUUGAAAGUUGGUUCCCUCCGAGACGGAUCCCGAGUAGUGCGGGGCACGUGAAACCCCGUAUGAAUCCGGCAGGACCAUCUGCCAAGGCUAAAUACUUCCUAGCGACCGAUAGUGAAGCAGUACCGUGAGGGAAAGGUGAAAAGCACCCCGGAAGGGGAGUGAAAUAGAACCUGAAACCGUGUGCUUACAAAAAGUCAGAGCCCGUUUUAGGGGUGAUGGCGUGCCUUUUGUAGAAUGAACCGGCGAGUUACGUUCCCGUGCAAGGUUAAGGUGAAGAGCCGGAGCCG